This 373-nucleotide ribosomal RNA is filed under the name Leptodactylus cf. wagneri J AF-2012. Its description in RNAcentral is "partial 12S ribosomal RNA". Lineage: Eukaryota; Metazoa; Chordata; Amphibia; Anura; Leptodactylidae. The record is from RNAcentral.
AAAAUCAACUCUUACUUAACUUACACAUGCAAGUCUCAGCACCCCUGUGAGAACGCCCUUCGACUCCUCAAAGGAGAAAGGAGCCGGUAUCAGGCACAUUUUUAGCCCAAGACACCUAGCUUUGCCACACCCACAAGGGAUUUCAGCAGUGAUUAACAUUGAACAUAAGCGACAGCUUGAUUCAGCUAAAGAAAAGAGAGCCGGCAAAUUUGGUGCCAGCCGCCGCGGUUACACCACGUGGCUCAAGUUGAUUUUACUCGGCGUAAAGCGUGAUUUAAGAGACCUGCCCCUGAUGUUAAAAAAGAACUGAGCUGUGACACGCCUGUUCCUUAGAAGCCCAGAAACGAAAGUUACACCAAUUGCACCAACUUGA